GACGAACGCUGGCGGCGUGCUUAACACAUGCAAGUCGUACGGUAAGGCCCUUUCGGGGGUACACGAGUGGCGAACGGGUGCGUAACACGUGAGUAACCUUCCCACAACUUUGGGAUAACGCUAGGAAACUGGUGCUAAUACUGGAUAUGUGCUCCUGCUGCAUGGUGGGGGUUGGAAAGCUCCGGCGGUUGUGGAUGUACUGGCGGCCUAUCAGCUUGUUGGUGGGGUAGUGGCCUACCAAGGCGGCGUCGGGUAGCCGGCCUGCGAGGGUGACCGGCCACAUUGGGACCGAGGUACGGCCCAGACUCCUACGGGAGGCAGCAGGGGGGAAGAUUGCACGAUGGGCGCCAGCCUGAUGCAGCAACGCCGCGUGCGGGAUAACGGCCUUCGGGUUGUAAACCGCUUUCAGCAGGGACGAAGCUUUUUGUGACGGUACCUGCAGAAGAAGCACCGGCUAACUACGUG
RNAcentral lists this ribosomal RNA (465 nucleotides) under uncultured bacterium. Its description in RNAcentral is "partial 16S ribosomal RNA". It matches the Rfam family "Bacterial small subunit ribosomal RNA", at positions 28 to 507 of the family's 1533-position model. The record is from RNAcentral.